RNAcentral lists this ribosomal RNA (432 nucleotides) under uncultured bacterium. RNAcentral describes it as "bacterial SSU rRNA". It matches the Rfam family "Bacterial small subunit ribosomal RNA", at positions 28 to 479 of the family's 1533-position model. The record is from RNAcentral.
GAUGAACGCUGGCGGCGCGCCUAACACAUGCAAGUCGAACGGCACCCACCCUCGGGUGGAAGCGAGUGGCGAACGGCUGAGUAACACGUGGAGAACCCGCCCCCUCCUCCGGGAUAGCCUCGGGAAACCGUGGGUAAUACCGGAUGACCCCGCAGGGCCGCAUGGCCCCGCGGGCAAAGCCCAGACGGGAGGGGAUGGCUCCGCGGCCCAUCAGGUAGACGGCGGGGUGACGGCCCACCGUGCCGACGACGGGUAGCCGGGUUGAGAGACCGACCGGCCAGAUUGGGACUGAGACACGGCCCAGACUCCUACGGGAGGCAGCAGUGGGGAAUCUUGCGCAAUGGGGGGAACCCUGACGCAGCGACGCCGCGUGCGGGACGAAGGCCCUCGGGUCGUAAACCGCUUUCAGCAGGGAUGAGACAAGACGGUACC